GCUCCGCCUCCGGAAGGCGGGCGGGGAGGGUAGUUGCUGGGGGUCCCUAGGCCGGGCCCCAGGACAUCUAGGACAUGCCGGGGGCUGUUUGCUACGGCUUCAUCCCGGAGCUCCUGCUCGGGGUUGCCGGCUGCCUCUGCUGGCGUCCCUCUUCCCUUCCUUUGCCCUAGAGGCAGGGGAUGCUGCGGAAUCAGACUGGGUGCACCAAGGCGGAGGGCCAUGCCGGGCUUCGCCCUUCCUGGGUGUCCCGGAGUCCGUUCCGGAGAAACCCUGGCAUUGCCAGAACUGGGUCCCCGCACUCACUCCUCCAUAAUUCGCGGCGGAUCAGCGGGAGGAGGGCAGAGGGCGGGGGCGAGGCAGCUUCCUGGCGGGUGUGGCGCAAAGUGUGCGGGGUGUGGCGCAAAGUGCGCGGACCCGGGUCCUGGACCGAAGAUUUAGCCCAGGGUUUCGUGUGUGUUGCUCCCUGUUGCUUUCUACGGGGUCUGCGCUGGCCUCCUCCUCGGGCGACUGGGCCCUGAGGCAACAGCGCCUUCUCGAGCCCCGAGGAUUGACCGCCCCGAGCCUGCUUGGAGCAGGGCCUCUCUCCAGCGCGGUGUGAUGAAACACCAGCUGCUGUGAAGAUAUACCCUUAGAAACGAACCGUCUGUUAAUAUGGAAAAAAACCAUUCUUCCAGGAGAGGCUCCUCCAAGCAAACUUCCCCUUACAUCUCUUACCAGAACUGGGUCACAUGCUCCCAUCUAAAACAACCACUGGCCAUUAGAAAUGGUGUUACCAUGCCUGUCUUGGACCAAUCACAUUUGAUCCUCUGAGGAUAGAGACAUGUUGCCACCUGAACAACUGUGGGGUGCUGUACUCCUGGCAAGCAGGGAGAAUGGCUGUGGCUAGGCAACUGACAGCAUCUACCACAAAUAUGUUACUCAGAAGAAGAAUCGAGGAUGGCCAUAAUUUUUAUUUAAAGAUUUCUAUUUUACAGAGGCAUAUCUGAUUAAGGGACAUUUAAACUUCCCUGUUAAACUUAUCAAGACAAAAAGACAAGGCAUCUUGCCACAUUUCUUAAAUAUUCUCUGCAGUCUCUCUUGACCUUUUCCCAGCUGUGCUGUAAACAUAAAGAUAAUAACAUAUCUGAAUAACAUUUUAUGGUGCACAGAUAAUUUUCACAUACAUUAUCCAUUUGACCCUCACCAUAACUGUGUGGGGUAGGUAAGGUACGAUUGUACUUUUCAUUAAUUUUUUUUUUUUUGAGACACAGUCUCGUUCUGUCACCCAGGCUAGAGUGCAGUGGUGCGAUCUGGGCUCACUGCAACCUCCACCUCCCAGGUUCAAGUGAUUCUCCUGCCUCAGCCUCCAAGUAGCUGGGAUUACAGGCAAGUGCCACCAUGCCUGGCUAGUUUUUGUAAUUUUUUAGUAGAGACAGGGUUUCACCAUGUUGGCCAGGCUGGUCUAGAACUCCUGACCUCAGGUGAUCCACGUGCCUCGGCCUCCCAAAGUGCUGGGGUUACAGGCAUGAGCCACUGCUCCUGGCCACUUUUCAUUAAUUUUUAUUGGACUUAGGAUUAGAAGGAUGAGCAAAUCCUACUACUUAGUGCGUGGAAUACUGGCAUCUAUUGUUUUUGCUUGGCUCCUCUCUUGUUUUAAUAAUUAACUAAUCGAUCCAUUCUCUUUUAUUGCCAUCUCCCACUCACACUUUUUCCUCCACAUAGGCAAUCAUUCUAAAUAUGUCCAAUGUUUAUCUUAUUUGUAUGCGUAUUUAUAAAGUGAAUAUUUUGUUUAGUGUGUAUGCAGUUUCGUUUGCAUAAAUUGUAAUAUUCUGUGAAUCUCAUUCUGUUUUGUACUUUUUUCAUUCUGCUCUGUUUUUAGAAGUGAUCCAUGUUGCUAUGUGUAUCUACUCCAUUGCCUUUAAAUGCUGCAUAAUACUCCACGGUGUUUGUCGAUCAUGUUUUACUCAUCUUUGCCCCCUAGUGGAAACCAUGAUGGCCUCCAACUCUGCACACAAAUAGUUUCAAACAAGAACCGCUGGUGAAAUGUGACUGCUGAUGGACCUGGGUGGGAAUUUCUCUGGGAUGCCGACUAAAAAGCAUGGUGGCUGGGUCAUAAAAUGCACACUUAAUUUGAAUAAGUGCCACCCAGUGGCUCUCCACAAAGCCUGCACUAGUCCAUUCUACUAGAAAUUAUUCACAUUUAACUGGAAACUGGGUCUUGGAGAUGUUAAGUAACUUGCUCAAGCUCACAUAAGGAGUAAAAGUGAAUUAGGACAUCCAGGACCCAAAUCCAGGCCUUGUAACUUCAGGUCAAUUUUAUUUUCCAGGGCACCACCCUCUAAGUCUCUGGAUCAUAAUAUGGAGCACUAAUAAAAAGAUUUCUUGAGGCUUUUGUUAUUUACAUAAUGAAUUUCAGAAAUGGCUUACUGGUGCUACUGGCAAGUUGCAGGCAGAAGAAAGAAUGAAAGCGAAUGGGCAUCUCAUGUUCUAUUCUCUGAUUCAACCUGUUUUGGGUCCCUUUUGACUGCUUUACCACAGUUGCUAUUACAUUAUUUUGGGAAGUAUUUAAAAAAGAAGAGAAAGUGCUGGAUAUCUGAACUCCUUUCCUCCAGUCUGCCAUGGGCCAAAAUGUAGUACCACCAUGCCUGACUAGAAAGUAAAAGAGGAAUCAUAGAAUCAGAUAGUGUUAUAACCAGAAUGGGCCUUACAGACCAUUUAGUCUAGUCCUCCCAUUUUAUAGAUGAGAAAAUGGAGGCCCAGAGAGAGGAAGACAGUUGCCUGAGGUCACACAGCUGGAAGGAGAGCAGGAUGGGCACCCAGGCUUUCUGAAAACCAGUCUCUUUGAUGCAGGUGAACCCCCACAUUGGGGCUCAGCUCAAGAGGGUUCUUAGCUUUGCUCAGGAAGGAAUUCAAGAGUGAGCUGACAGUUAAAGAAAGCAAGUUUUUAGAGCAAUAGUGUACAGCAAAAUGGCUGCUCCACAGACAGAGCAGGGCCAUCCCAUAGGCAGAGUAGCACUUGUGCAUUGCUGGCUAGCUCUAUUUAUAGCUGCUCCUAAUUAUAUGCUAAAUAAGCGGUGGGUUAUUCACAGAUUUUCUAGAAAAGGUGUGGGGAAUUUCCAGAACUGAUGGUUCCUUCCUCUUUAAACCAUGUAAGGUAACUUCUGGGUUUUGCCAUGACAUCAACUGUCAUGGUGCUGGUGGGAAGUGUUUUACAGCAUGCAAAUGUAUUAUAAUUCCUAGUCCUAACUGCUUUUGGCUGGUUCCUUUGCUACAUCCUGUUUUGAUCAGCAGUGUCAUGAAAACAAGUCCUGUUCAUCUCCUACCUCUCCUUGCCCUUUCCACUUUUCUGCACACAGCAACUUUCACCUGCGCACCCAGGAAUCCACACUUUAAGUCUUAACAACCUGAGGUGUUGUUGAGAAAAAACUACAAACAGUGGUGCGCUGGCAAAUCUUUAACAAUCACCUGGGGUGGGGUGGGGUGUGGAUAAACAAGCCUUAUUUGUAGCAUAUGGCCAAUUUCAAGCUGCCAAAGUGCUGUCACUGAACGUGAAGUAGUGGGAGCAGGGCAGCAGAGGGCCACCAAUCAGAGGCAUUUCCACCAAACAGAUGCAAUUGGCAUAAGUAACUGCAAGGGCACGGACAACCGCAAGGUCUGCUAAAAGGAUUAGGAAGUGAUGAGUUUUGAGUGUUUAUUACUUUUGGUUUUAGUGUAACUUAUUUGUAAGCUUACAUAAUUUAAUGUCUAAUAAGGGCAAUGUUUAACAAUCACUCAUGAAAUUCCUGAAAAUUGAACUGAUACGGUUUGGCUGUGUCCAAACCAAAUCUCAUCUCAAAUUGUAAUCUGAAUUAUAAUCUCCACGUGUUGGGGAGGUAUCUGGUGGGAGGUGAUUGGAUCGGGGAGGGGGGGAUUCCCCCACGAUGUUCUCAUGAUUGUGAAUGAGUUCUCACGAGAUCUGUUGGCUUUAUAAGUGGUGGUUUCCCCUGUUCUCGCUCUUUCCUGCUGCCUUGUGAGGAAGGUACUUGCUUCUCCUUUGCCUUGUGCCGUGAUUGUAAGUUUCCUGAGGCCUCCCCAACCAUGCAGAACUGUGAGUCAAUUAAACCUCUUUUCUUUAAAAAUUACCCAGUCUUGAACAGUUCUUUAUAGCAGUGUGAAAACGGACUAAUACGUGAAUACUCAGCUCUCCUGAGCUUAUGCGAGUCAGCCCCAAGACAACAUUGGCUAUAAAGGAAUGAAGCCAGCUUCUCGGUGUAGCAACCCGCCUUCCUAGUUUAUAAACUUGUCCUGAUUCUUCUGCAUACUCUUUGGUGGAAACAUAAAAUAUGAAUAUAGUGGAAAAGAGGGGCA
RNAcentral lists this long non-coding RNA (4326 nucleotides) under Homo sapiens (human). RNAcentral describes it as "HSALNT0394202". The record is from RNAcentral. Lineage: Eukaryota; Metazoa; Chordata; Mammalia; Primates; Hominidae.